Drosophila subpulchrella is the source of this 1275-nucleotide long non-coding RNA. RefSeq lists it as uncharacterized. Lineage: Eukaryota; Metazoa; Arthropoda; Insecta; Diptera; Drosophilidae. The record is from RefSeq and is a predicted model, not a curated record. The transcript has 3 exons.
CUGAACAGUUCACAUCCAGUUUUUUCAGAUCUUGCUUUGAAAAUAUUAAAAAUUUAUUAGUGCACCUCACACAAAAACAACCCAAAAUUUAUCGAAGUAUUUAUUUUUUAACAAUGCUGUUAGUACAACUAUGUUCGAGCGCUCAAUAUAUUCGAGAUGUGCCUUUGCCGCAGCCGAUUCUCUUUGAAAUUAAGAAUAACGCAACAAUAUUGGAGCUCCGGCAAAAGUUGGAGCCCAUAAUCGCUGUGCCGUUGCGCCAGAUCAAACUGCGAAAAUCUGGCCAGACAAUAAACAAUAAUAAACUGAUUUCGGAUGUCUUGGAUGCGAGGACUUCGGAAGAUUUGGGAUUAGGAGCGGAACUAUCUAUUUUGAGCGGAAAUUCAUUCUUCGCCCCCCUAAAAUUUUACGGGCAGGCAUAUAAAAACGGACAACCGCUUAACCACCAAUUCUACAUGCCUCAGCAAUAGGUGAGCAAACGCAUUCCUUGCUAUUCCAGAGCGAACAUCAGCGGGACCUCGAGGUUGGGUCAUCAGGACCCUCUUGAAAUAGCCCAGGGAUCCUGUGUAAUUCCGACUAUCGAAGGCCAAUGACCCACGUCCUAUCAAUGCCAGUAUAUUAUUUGACAAUAUUAUCCCGUCAAACAGUGCAUCUGUGUCUUGAGCUGUGCUGGGUGAUAAAAUCAGCCCGAAUUCCUUUAUUAUAACGAUCUCCAGAUCGCUUUUAGCUAGCCAAUGCUUUGGAAGUAUUGAUAACAUGGCCCUUCGAAAAUUGCCCAAUUCGUUGUAGGUCAUGUUGGCCGCCAGCAUUAUAUUAGUCCUAACCAUAUCCUACUUAUAGGACCUGUACGGCUUUUCAAAAGACUCCCCUUAAGAGCGCAUCAGAAAAACUAUGAAUGCCCCCUACAGUCUGAAGUACCCGAAAUGAAUGAUCGUUCGUUCAAAAAAACCAAGUCAAAAGAAAAUGUGUAAGUACAUCGCUGAUCACAGUACAUCGGAAAUAGGCGGAAAAACAAAUAUGAUACGCGUCAGAAAAUGGGACAUAAUCUUUUAUUAGAAUCGGAAAAGCUGUUUUUUUCGAUGAGGAAACCGAGGAAUACAGAAAAGAAUCCAUCGACCACCACCAACAGAGAUGGUCGACUUCAUGUCCGAACAGAAAAAUUAUUGUUUUAAUUCAAGAGAAAUCAAGUCAGUGGUCUGAAAUGGUGAAGAAAUGUCUUUGAAUGAGCUGAACAAGAAAAUGCACUCUAGUGACAAAUAAAUAAUAUCAAAAUAUUUU